Molecule: ribosomal RNA, 520 nt
Filed under: uncultured Glomus
Lineage: Eukaryota; Fungi; Glomeromycota; Glomeromycetes; Glomerales; Glomeraceae
Description: SSU rRNA
Rfam family: Eukaryotic small subunit ribosomal RNA
Source: RNAcentral
AGCAGCCGCGGUAAUUCCAGCUCCAAUAGCGUAUAUUAAAGUUGUUGCAGUUAAAAAGCUCGUAGUUGAAUUUCGGGGUUAGUAGGUCAGUCGUGCCUCAGGUAUGUACUGAUCUCACUGAUUCCUCCUUCCUGAUGAACCGUAAUGCCAUUAAUUUGGUGUUGCGGGGAAACUGGACUGUUACUUUGAAAAAAUUGAGUGUUUAAAGCAGGCUAACGCUUGAAUACAUUAGCAUGGAAUAAUGAAAUAGGACGUUCGAUCCUAUUUUGUUGGUUUCUAGGAUUGACGUAAUGAUUAAUAGGGAUAGUUGGGGGCAUUAGUAUUCAAUUGUCAGAGGUGAAAUUCUUGGAUUUAUUGAAGACUAACUACUGCGAAAGCAUUUGCCAAGGAUGUUUUCAUUAAUCAAGACCGAAAGUUAGGGAUCGAAGACGAUCAGAUACCGUCGUAGUCUUAACCAUAAACUAUGCCGACUAGGGAUCGGGAUGAUGUUAAUUUUUUAAUGUACUCAUUCGGCGUCCUU